Long non-coding RNA from Xiphophorus couchianus (Monterrey platyfish), 322 nucleotides. RefSeq lists it as uncharacterized. NCBI's taxonomy places the organism in Eukaryota, Metazoa, Chordata, Actinopteri, Cyprinodontiformes, Poeciliidae. The record is from RefSeq and is a predicted model, not a curated record. The transcript is spliced from 2 exons.
GCGAGAGACCUGAUCCGGAGAGGACGGAUGAGGAGGAGAGGGGAGUCGAAGAGCGCACCAGUAGCUUCUUUCUCCACAUGAAGACUGAUGUGGUUUACCCAGAAGGUUGUUGCCAAGGCAACGCCGGGACGGGAGGCGAGGAGCGUGAUUCCAUGACAACUGACUUCAGCGCUCCCCGUCACCUUUCUGGACACGCAUUUCCAACCGAUAAUAAGUGAGGAGAUUUGAUUUUUAAUGUUGUGUUUGUGAGAGCCAAUGAACAAAAAGUCAUCUAAUAAGGGGGCAUACUGCACGCAUCAGCGUAGAUUUACACUAUUAGAGA